This 214-nucleotide ribosomal RNA is filed under the name Paracoccus sp. CSeA15_4. RNAcentral's name for it is "partial 16S ribosomal RNA". It matches the Rfam family "Bacterial small subunit ribosomal RNA", at positions 254 to 487 of the family's 1533-position model. Lineage: Bacteria; Pseudomonadati; Pseudomonadota; Alphaproteobacteria; Rhodobacterales; Paracoccaceae. The record is from RNAcentral.
GGGGUAAUGGCCUACCAAGCCGACGAUCCAUAGCUGGUUUGAGAGGAUGAUCAGCCACACUGGGACUGAGACACGGCCCAGACUCCUACGGGAGGCAGCAGUGGGGAAUCUUAGACAAUGGGGGCAACCCUGAUCUAGCCAUGCCGCGUGAGUGAUGAAGGCCUUAGGGUUGUAAAGCUCUUUCAGCUGGGAAAUAAUGACGGACCAGCAGAAG